Molecule: ribosomal RNA, 2833 nt
Filed under: Durio zibethinus
Lineage: Eukaryota; Viridiplantae; Streptophyta; Magnoliopsida; Malvales; Malvaceae
Description: eukaryotic LSU rRNA
Rfam family: Eukaryotic large subunit ribosomal RNA
Source: RNAcentral
ACUCUUAGCAGUGGAUAUCUUGGCUCUUGCAUUGAUGAAAAAUGUAGUGAAAUAUGAUACUUUGUCUAAAUUUUAGAAUCCCGUGAACCAUCAAGUCUUUGAACACAAGUUGUGCCCCAAGCCAUUAGGUUGAUGGCAUGCCUACCUGAGUGUCAUGUAUCAUCACCCUCUCUAACCCCUUACCUUUUAAUAUGCUUGCAAAGACGUCAUUGUCGUGAUCAUGGAAUGUAGCAUGUGCCAUCUUGGCAUGCUUUGGCAUUGGCGUGCUCCUGGUAUUGGCCUACGGGUUCCCCAUCUAGCCCAUCUUGAAACACAGACUAAGAAAUUUGACAUAUGUGCGAGUCAACAAGCUAGAAAACCCGUAAGGCACAAGGAAGCUGAUUUAGGGGAUUUCUCAUAAGUGCACUGCUGACCAACCUUGAUCUUCUAAAAAGGGUUCAAGUGUAAACAUGCUUGUUGGGACCCAAAAGAUGGUGAACUAUACCUGAGCAAGGCAAAGCCAGAGGAAACUCUAGUAGAGGCCUAUGGUGAUACUAACGUGCAAAUCGUUCAUUUGACUUAGGUAUAUGGGCAAGAGACUAAUUGAACCAUCUAGUAGCUGGUUUUUCUGAAAGUUUCCCUUAAGAUAGCUAAAGCCCUUAGCAAGUUCUAUUGAGUAAAGCCAAUGAUUAGAGACAUUGGAGGCACAAUGCCCUAGACCUAUUCUCAGACUUUAAAUAGGUAGGACAGGGAUGCUACUUCAUUAAGUCGCACCAUAGAAUUAAGAGCUCUAAGUGGGCUAUUUUUGGUAAGUAAAAUAGGUGAUGUAGGAUGAACCAAAAGCUAGGUUAUGAUGCCCAUUGCACGCUAACCUAAAACCCACAAUGGGUGUUGGUCGAUUAAGAAAGUAGGAUAGUCGUCAUGGAAGUCAAAAUCUAUUAAGGAGUGUAACAACUCAUCUACCAAAUCAACUAGCCCCUACAAUGGAUGGCGUUUAAGCAUGUAACCUAUACUCGGCUAUCAGGAAAAGGGCCAAGCCCCAAUGAGUAAAAGGGUGCAACAAUCACCAUAAAACUCAGGGCACAAGCCCAGGCAAAGCAAUCGUUAUUGCAAAUCUUGGUGGUAGUAGCAAAUAUUCAAAUGAGAACUUUGAAGGCCAAAGAAAGGAAAGGAUCCAUGGGAAUGGCAUUUACACAUGGGUUAGUCAAUCCUAAGAGACGGGGGAAUUCCCUCUAACAGCAUGUCUAACAUGAGCUUCGAAAGAGAAGUGGGUUAAAAUUCUUGAUUUAGGAUGCGAUAACUGAUGACAAUGUUAGGAGUUUGCAUCGAUGGAGGCCUUAGAAAGAGUUAUCGUUUCUAUUUAAUGGCCUAUCCACCUCAGAAACAACUAGCUAGAGGUAAGGUCUAGCAAUCGGAAGAACACCACAUGUCAUGUAGUGUCUAAUGCACCCUCGACGGCCUUUGAAAAUCUGAAGGACUGAGUGUUGUCCAUACUUGGUCAUACUCAUGGAUUAGCUCUGAAGGUUGGGCAUGGUGGUCCUAAUCUUGAACUGUCAGUUGCCAGUGUAUUGCUCAAGCGACUCUUAUGGCAAAAACGGGUCGCCACAUGUCGAUUAAAGGAUGGACUAGGAACGGUUCUCUUAGGGGCCUUCAUCAAGCAAUGAAUAGUUGACGUAAAAUUGGUAUAGACAAAGGGAAUCCAACUGUUUAAUUAAAACAAAGCAUUAUGAUGGUCCCUACGGAUGCUCACACAAUGUGAUUUUUACCUAGUGCACUGAAUGUCGAAGUGAAGAAAUUCAACCAAGCACGGGCAAACAAUGAGAGUAACUAUGACUCUUUUAAGGUAGCCAAAUGCCUCAUUAUCUACUUGGUGACACGCAUGAAUGGAUUAACAAGAUUCCCACUAUCUAUAUCUACUAUCCAAUGAAACCAUAGCCAAAAGAAUAUGCUUGGUGGAAUCAGUAAGGAAAGAAGACCCCGUUGAGCUUGACUUUAGUCCAACUUUAUGCAAUGACUUGAGAGGUGUAGGAUAAGUGGGAGCCCUAAGGUGAAAUUGAAAUACCAAUACUUUUAACUUUAUUUUACUUAUUCCGUGAAUCGAAGGUGAGGCAUAACCUUUUUUUUUAGACUUAAGGCCAACCUUGAUUAGUUGAUUUAGAUGAAAGACAUUGUCAAGUGGGGAGUUUGGCUAAGGUGGCACAUCUGUUAAAAAAUAACAUAAGUGUCCUAAGAUUAGCUUAAUAGGAACAGAAAUCUCAUGUGGAACAAAAAGGUAAAAACUCAUUUGAUUUUUAUUUCUAGUAUGAAUACAAACCAUGAAAGCAUGGCCUAUUGAUCCUUUAGACCUUCAAAAUUUAAAGCUAGAGGUGAUAGAAAAGUUACCAUAGGGAUAACUUGGCUUGUGGCAGCCAAGCAUUCAUAGCGAUGUUACUUUUUUAUCCAUUGAUGUCGGCUCUUCCUAUCAUUAUGAAGUAGAAUUCAUCAUGUGUUGGUUUGUUCACCCACUAAUAAAGAAUGUGAGCUGGGUUUAAAUCAUCAUAAGAUAGGUUAGUUUUACCCUAUUGAUGGCAGCAUCGCAAUAAUAGUUCAACCUAGUAAGAGAGGAAUAAUUGAUUCGCACAAUUGGUCAUCGUUCUUGGUUGAAAAGCGAAUAGCGUGAAGUUACAUGCACUGGAUUAUGACUGAACACCUCUAAGUCAGAAUCUGGGCAAGAAAUGAUGCAUAUGCCCAUUGCUUGAUUGUUGAGCCAUAUUUGGUGUUACACGUGUCAUAGGUGCAGCCCUUAUGACAGACAAGCCGCACGGACCUCCUUGGAGCUCAAUUCCCACCGAGCAAUAGGUAAAAUCUUUUACAG